GCAUUGUGGAGGAAUUUCAGGAGCUCCAUUGCAGUGGAAUGAAGCAAGUGCUUAAAAAAGUGGAGGAGAAGCUGGCAGGUCUAAACAUUACCAAUGAUGAAAUACAGAAAAUAGUUAAGGACCUUGAAAAAGAGUCCAUCGUCAUUUUGGCAGAUCCAGCUGCAACAAAGCAAUUCAUUGAGAAAGACAUUCGUCUGCCACCCACUCCUAGACUGAUUACGCUUGGGAACACAUUUCUCUCUGCAAAAAAAGUGGAUGGUGAUUCUUUGAGGAUCACCUGGAUUUUGCAAAUGCCUUGUAAAUCUUCUUAGUAACCUUCUAUGUUUUCAACAUAGAAUAUCAAGAGCCAGCUUGUGCUACAUUGGAACUAAUUCAAAGUGGGUGUUGUGAAGGAAGAACCCACUCGCAAGAUGUCUGCCAGUCCAGAGCCCUCUCACAAGAUGGCCACCAGUCCAGAGCCCGCUCGCAAGAUGGUGUGUUCAAGGUACAGAUGUUUGAUAUCAAGCCUGGCAGACACCCAUCUGAUGUCUACUUGGAGGGUAGAUGUCCCCAGCAUCCAGAGUAUGGCGGUGCCUGUUGUGGAUGAUCCUGAGACUCCUGCUUUAGAAUCUGUUCUGCUGGUGGUGGUUGCUGCAUUGGUGUGUGUCUGGGCUGUGCAUGUCAUAGGUCGGGGGUGUGCCAACGCAGAGCCAGACAACCAACACCCCCCGAACUACCACACCAC
Triplophysa dalaica is the source of this 724-nucleotide long non-coding RNA. RefSeq lists it as uncharacterized. The record is from RefSeq and is a predicted model, not a curated record. The transcript has 4 exons. NCBI's taxonomy places the organism in Eukaryota, Metazoa, Chordata, Actinopteri, Cypriniformes, Nemacheilidae.